CCUACGGGCGGCAGGGGGGAAGAGUGAGCAAGGGGUGAAAGCCGGAAGCAGCGACGCCGCGUGAGGGAUGAAGGGGUUCGGAUCGUAAACCGCUGUCAGCAGGGAAGAACGGGCACUGUGCUAAUCAGCAGUGAAUUGACGGUACCUGCAAAGGAAGCACCGGCUAACACCGUGCCAGCAGCCGCGGUAAUACGGAGGGUGCGAGCGUUAAUCGGAAUUACUGGGCGUAAAGCGCUCGUAGGCGGUAUGUCAAGUCAAGGGUGAAAUCCCCGCGCUCAACGUGGGAACUGCCUUUGAAACUGGCAAACUGGAGUGUGUGAGAGGAUAGUGGAAUUCCAGGUGUAGGAGUGAAAUCCGUAGAUAUCUGGAGGAACAUCAGUGGCGAAGGCGACUAUCUGGCACAUAACUGACGCUGAGGAGCGAAAGCGUGGGUAGCAAACAGGAUUAGAUACCCUGGUAGUC
Molecule: ribosomal RNA, 462 nt
Filed under: uncultured bacterium
Lineage: Bacteria
Description: partial 16S ribosomal RNA
Rfam family: Bacterial small subunit ribosomal RNA
Source: RNAcentral